This 1856-nucleotide ribosomal RNA is filed under the name Escherichia coli. RNAcentral's name for it is "partial 23S ribosomal RNA". It matches the Rfam family "Bacterial large subunit ribosomal RNA", at positions 1 to 1875 of the family's 2925-position model. The record is from RNAcentral. Lineage: Bacteria; Pseudomonadati; Pseudomonadota; Gammaproteobacteria; Enterobacterales; Enterobacteriaceae.
GGGUUGUGAGGUUAAGCGACUAAGCGUACACGGUGGAUGCCCUGGCAGUCAGAGGCGAUGAAGGACGUGCUAAUCUGCGAUAAGCGUCGGUGAGGUGAUAUGAACCGUUAUAACCGGCGAUUUCCGAAUGGGGAAACCCAGUGUGUUUCGACACACUAUCAUUAACUGAAUCCAUAGGUUAAUGAGGCGAACCGGGGGAACUGAAACAUCUAAGUACCCCGAGGAAAAGAAAUCAACCGAGAUUCCCCCAGUAGCGGCGAGCGAACGGGGAGGAGCCCAGAGCCUGAAUCAGUGUGUGUGUUAGUGGAAGCGUCUGGAAAGGCGCGCGAUACAGGGUGACAGCCCCGUACACAAAAAUGCACAUAUUGUGAGCUCGAUGAGUAGGGCGGGACACGUGGUAUCCUGUCUGAAUAUGGGGGGACCAUCCUCCAAGGCUAAAUACUCCUGACUGACCGAUAGUGAACCAGUACCGUGAGGGAAAGGCGAAAAGAACCCCGGCGAGGGGAGUGAAAAAGAACCUGAAACCGUGUACGUACAAGCAGUGGGAGCCUCUUAAUGGGGUGACUGCGUACCUUUUGUAUAAUGGGUCAGCGACUUAUAUUCUGUAGCAAGGUUAACCGAAUAGGGGAGCCGAAGGGAAACCGAGUCUUAACUGGGCGUUAAGUUGCAGGGUAUAGACCCGAAACCCGGUGAUCUAGCCAUGGGCAGGUUGAAGGUUGGGUAACACUAACUGGAGGACCGAACCGACUAAUGUUGAAAAAUUAGCGGAUGACUUGUGGCUGGGGGUGAAAGGCCAAUCAAACCGGGAGAUAGCUGGUUCUCCCCGAAAGCUAUUUAGGUAGCGCCUCGUGAAUUCAUCUCCGGGGGUAGAGCACUGUUUCGGCAAGGGGGUCAUCCCGACUUACCAACCCGAUGCAAACUGCGAAUACCGGAGAAUGUUAUCACGGGAGACACACGGCGGGUGCUAACGUCCGUCGUGAAGAGGGAAACAACCCAGACCGCCAGCUAAGGUCCCAAAGUCAUGGUUAAGUGGGAAACGAUGUGGGAAGGCCCAGACAGCCAGGAUGUUGGCUUAGAAGCAGCCAUCAUUUAAAGAAAGCGUAAUAGCUCACUGGUCGAGUCGGCCUGCGCGGAAGAUGUAACGGGGCUAAACCAUGCACCGAAGCUGCGGCAGCGACACUAUGUGUUGUUGGGUAGGGGAGCGUUCUGUAAGCCUGUGAAGGUGGCCUGUGAGGGUUGCUGGAGGUAUCAGAAGUGCGAAUGCUGACAUAAGUAACGAUAAAGCGGGUGAAAAGCCCGCUCGCCGGAAGACCAAGGGUUCCUGUCCAACGUUAAUCGGGGCAGGGUGAGUCGACCCCUAAGGCGAGGCCGAAAGGCGUAGUCGAUGGGAAACAGGUUAAUAUUCCUGUACUUGGUGUUACUGCGAAGGGGGGACGGAGAAGGCUAUGUUGGCCGGGCGACGGUUGUCCCGGUUUAAGCGUGUAGGCUGGUUUUCCAGGCAAAUCCGGAAAACCAAGGCUGAGGCGUGAUGACGAGGCACUACGGUGCUGAAGCGACAAAUGCCCUGCUUCCAGGAAAAGCCUCUAAGCAUCAGGUAACAUCAAAUCGUACCCCAAACCGACACAGGUGGUCAGGUAGAGAAUACCAAGGCGCUUGAGAGAACUCGGGUGAAGGAACUAGGCAAAAUGGUGCCGUAACUUCGGGAGAAGGCACGCUGAUAUGUAGGUGAAGCGACUUGCUCGUGGAGCUGAAAUCAGUCGAAGAUACCAGCUGGCUGCAACUGUUUAUUAAAAACACAGCACUGUGCAAACACGAAAGUGGACGUAUACGGUGUGACGCCUGCCCGGUGCCGGAAG